UAGCACCAAGAAAAAUUUUUAAUUGCACCAUAAUCUACAGUAGUGAGAGUGACUGUGAGACUAAUAAUAUGAGGAGAAAAAAACAAAUUGGAUAUGUUUGAUACUGGAAUGAUAAAAGGGUUAUAUAAAGUAAAAAACCUUCCGUGUCAAUUGAUUAUAACGCUCAUCAACCUGAUCACAUGCAAUAUAUUCAGGCCAGAUCGAAGCAAUGACAAUGGUAAAAACAGCCAUUAACCACAAAAAGGUUGCUGAGAAAUCGACAACUGGCCGGUUUGGAGAGUAAAGGAGGACUUCCACUGUAAGAAGAAAGGGAGUCUUAGUAACAAAUAUAAAGGGAAACUAGAAGUAACAAAGAACAUAUAAAAGAGAAUACAGUAAAGAGAUACCUAAAGUUAUCAGUAUGUUUCUACAUUGUACCAUCAUCUGAUUUACAAUUUAGAACAUUCAAAUAAAAGGCAAGAUAAAAAUAACAAAGUUGCCAGUCAAAUUUAUAGGCAUGCAUCAAAUGAUCAAAAUUAUUCAAUGUGGGGAUGGUAUCUGAUAUAUACAACUCUAAUAGGCAGUGGGGAGUGGCUGAAUCCUGAAAGUGCAUAUGACAAUGUUUGGCAGAGGAUAACACCUUUCCUAUCAUGCUAGAGGAUGAUUAAGCAAUGAAGUUGAUUAAGAAUGGGGAAAGGUCCCCAUUUUCCACAUACAGGAUCCUAUUCUGAGGUUUAUAACUUAACAAUUCAGUACAGAUUAAGGACAUAAAAUUAGUAAAAAAUACAUAAAGAGAGAUUUGGAAUUUAGAUUUCUAGUCAAGAUCUUCACAAUGAGAUUAAUAUUGCAAAAUCAAUGAUGGGUUAUUUGAACAUGAAGAACCACAUCUACUGCAUUGAACAUGAUCUAUUGCAUUUAGAAUACUCAAAAACCAAAAGUUUUACGUUUUGGAGGUCUCCAAUUUAGGCACCAAAUGAACACAGAUGAUUUGAGUGGCAUGACUCGUUAUUUGCUAUGAUCUACUGUUCAGAAGCAAGAAAACUUAUGUUCUUACAUGUUUCAAUUCAUACAAAUUUAAGAUGCAUCAACUGUAUUAAUUUUAAAUCCAUAUAACCUAUCAUAACACUUUAGUAGCAUAACACUGUAAAUACCAUUUACUUUUGUUUCCCACUUGAAACAUAGGAAGGACACCUCACAAAACAUAUGGAUUCUUUUGCACAUCAUGGCCAAUGGGGUGGAUCUGUAAUCUCCAUAAUUUAUCUUUUUUUUUUGCAUUAAUUCUAGAUCAUGACAAAUGCACCUGCUCGGCUGUAUCAAAAAAGAAAAAGAAAUUUAGAAAGAAGAUAUAAAAUAAAAAACCUUUAUAGUUAGAUAUUUUAAAUAAUAUGAUGGGUUUUAUCCUGACACUGUGCUAGUAAUGGUUGGGCAUCAACCAGCACUUAAAAUGGAAAGAACGUCGACGACUCUAUUGAGAUUGGAUCAAGAACAUUAAAGAAGCUAUUCCAUAUCAUCGAGCUUUUUUUGCCACGAUAGUGAGCAAGAUCUAAAAUCUCAAAUCUCAAGAUUGAAACAUAAUCUGAAGACUGUCUUUGAAGUUGUCCUCUCUAAAAAGGUUGUUUAUAUGAAUUAAUUUGGUUGUGGUAAAUAAAUCAGCAACUUGACAGAUUGAUUUUCCAGAACUUUCCAAGUGGAAGGACACAGGUAGAAACUAGAAAAUGAUCUUGUUUUAUAAUAAUGUUAAAAAUCAUGCAAUAUAGCAGCCAAGGUAAAUUUCAAAAUAAAUAUUAGAUACUAGUAGCAAGGAUACUACCCAGUAUACCAUGAGGUUGGGUGGCAUCCAGUUGCCUCCAACCUGGACCCAUACCCAUAGGAAGUUCAGGUCUAAACUUUUGACCCAAAAUCCGCCCAUCAAGAAUCAUGAACCCAGAUAGUUGAGACUUGAGACUUUACAACACCCAGCAGGGCAGGUCUACGGGUCAGAUCUGAAUAUGUUGAGACCCAUACACUACCCAACAUUCGUUGGGUUUGAAUCAAGGAUCAUGUCUGGGUCUUCAAAGUGGGUAUUCAUAAGCUCGAUUCCUUUCAUGCACUCAAAAUGAUUCACUAGUGACAGAGGUUCGAAGUAUAUUUAAUAGAUUUUAUAAGAAAAAUGAAAGGUGUAAAAGUAAACUACUGAGGUGCAGAUUGGCUUGGGUUAGAUCGGAUCAGGUUCACAGAGAUUAGUCCUGUACCCUAAAUAUAUUAUAUGAUCAGGUUAGAUCAGGUCCAAGUCCAGUGCAAUUUCACUAGAACCAGAUCUGACCUCAGUUUUUUUUAGGGACCUAUAUUUGAACCACAUUUGACCCAUAACCCUAUGGGUUUGGAUCAGGUCUGUCUAGGAUCUGGUCUUAUGAGUUUUUGUGGCAGGCCUACAAGCUGCUUCAUUAAAAAAAGUGAUAGAAUAAGCUCUACUACUAGAAACUUUAUUCUUCACAACAGUUUUCUCUAAACAAAUUGUAAUAUUUGAAUUUCUUAAUAAAAAAAUUGACUGUGAACAAGCAUUCAGAUGAGACCAAAGAAACCAUAUAUUUUAGAGUCGCAACCAUUUAUUCUUUUAACCUAAAUGCUUUAUUAGCUGAACCAUACACAAACAUCCAAUCUAACUAUGAUAAAUUUCUUUCCUCAAAAAAGAAAAAAGAAAUAUGAUGGCUUUCCAUAAAAUCAUAUUGAAAAGAUGACAUUAGAUGGUUUUAAUAUUCAUUAACAGCUACAAAUUCAAAUUUUUCAUAAAACAAAUUGACUGUGAACAAACAUUCAGAUGAGACCUAAAAAAAACGUAAAUCUUAUUGUCACAACCAUUUAUUCUUUUAAACCCAGAGCUUUAUUCAAUGAACCAUACACAAAGAGCCAAUCUAACUACGAUAAGUUUCUUUCCUCAAAAGACAAAGAAGUAUGAUGACUUUCCCUAAAAACGUAUUGAAAUGAUGACAUUAGAUGACUUUGAUAUUCAUUCACAAUGUGAGAUAAUUGUUCUUGGGUCUGAAACAAAUUCAAUGAAGAUCCAAAUCAUUAUAAUCAGUGCUCAGUGAUGACUGGAGCUAAUAUCCAAAUAUAGUCCAUUUAUAUACAAGCAUGCAAGAAUAUAGAUAUGAGAUUAUCUCCUAUAUAUAUCCCUUAUUGUACUUCUUGCAAUUUUAUGUUAAACAUUAAUACACUGGAAGAUACCCCAAAUCAACUAAAUAAUUGACAGAUAUUCCACUAUGAAUGAGGGAGCAAAAUGGGAACAAAGAAAUAUUUGAUGCAUUAAUACAACUAAAUAUUGUGUGUGCGCCAUGUGUAUGCGAGUGUAGAGAGAGAGAGAGACACUAUAAAACCCAGAUAUCUCUAAAAACUAUGAAACCAAGAUAUCCCUAAACACUUCUGAAAGAUUUUGAAAAAGAACCAAGAGAGUUUUAAUGUUCUUUGAGUCAAGUCAUAAAUAAUAUCUCUUAAGCAUCAUCUCAAACCAUGCAAAAUUUCCCAAAAUUCUUCUUGCAAUUUCAGAGCGGAAGAUUUAAGAGGAACUCACAUAAUAACUUUUUUGUAGAUAUAACCAUGAAGACUUUUCCAACAACUUACUAUCAAAAUUUAACAAAAAGAAGUUAAUUCCCACACAGAAUCAAAGGUAAUUCAGGUCCUAAAAUGACUCAGAAAUUAUUGAUUCAUUCUGUUAAAAUGAAAAACUUGUGAAGAUAUUCAUAUGGUUGUUGGAUUUGAUUUUAAUCUCUAAAGAGCAAAAGGCUGAAAACGAUAUCAUAGGUGUUAUCAGUUAAGUACCUAGACACGGAUAAGGGCGCAAUUGUGUUGACUGGAACUCAGCUCCAUCCAAAGCAAACAAAUAUCCAAUGUUAAGACACAUGGAUCAAGCAUGGGUCCAAAAUUUAGGAACCAAUGACCAAUAGGAUUGAGUAUGGAUCAGGGUUUUAAUUACCAACCGGACGGUGGGGCAUCCCACCAUCUUGAGCAUUGGGAUAUCACAAGUCAAGAAAAUGGGAUCAUCACCAUCCUAAGUUUCAGCACAAGGCAUCUCGUUCCAUGCAAGGUCUGCCGUACCCGCCCGUACUGGCCGGUACAUACCGAUACCGCCCUGAACCAGUACCGAAUCAGCAUGAAAUUUGGUACUGAAAGCUUAUCGUUGGAGAACCGGUACGGGGCCAGUAUGUGAAACCCCAAAACUCGACCAUUCAACGGAACCGAUACGGAGCCGGUACGGACCAGUCCGUGUCAAUUGAUUAUAACGCUCAUCAACCUGAUCACAUGCAAUAUAUUCAGGCCAGAUCGAAGCAAUGACAAUGGUAAAAACAGCCAUUAACCACAAAAAGGUUGCUGAGAAAUCGACAACUGGCCGGUUUGGAGAGUAAAGGAGGACUUCCAUACCAUACCAGUACUGCCCACUAUC
This 4396-nucleotide long non-coding RNA is filed under the name Phoenix dactylifera (date palm). Its description in RNAcentral is "long non-coding RNA (PDAC_LNC006071)". Lineage: Eukaryota; Viridiplantae; Streptophyta; Magnoliopsida; Arecales; Arecaceae. The record is from RNAcentral.